UCAGGAAGAAAGCUUGCUUUCUUUGCUGGCGACCGGCGCACGGGUGAGUAACACGUAUCCAACCUGCCCUUUACUCGGGGAUAGCCUUUCGAAAGAAAGAUUAAUACCCGAUGGGAUAAUUAUUCCGCAUGGUUUGAUUAUUAAAGGAUUCCGGUAAAGGAUGGGGAUGCGUUCCAUUAGGUUGUUGGUGAGGUAACGGCUCACCAAGCCUUCGAUGGAUAGGGGUUCUGAGAGGAAGGUCCCCCACAUUGGAACUGAGACACGGUCCAAACUCCUACGGGAGGCAGCAGUGAGGAAUAUUGGUCAAUGGGCGCUAGCCUGAACCAGCCAAGUAGCGUGAAGGAUGAAGGCUCUAUGGGUCGUAAACUUCUUUUAUAUAAGAAUAAAGUGCAGUAUGUAUACUGUUUUGUAUGUAUUAUAUGAAUAAGGAUCGGCUAACUCCGUGCCAGCAGCCGCGGUAAUACGGAGGAUCCGAGCGUUAUCCGGAUUUAUUGGGUUUAAAGGGAGCGUAGGUGGACUGGUAAGUCAGUUGUGAAAGUUUGCGGCUCAACCGUAAAAUUGCAGUUGAUACUGUCAGUCUUGAGUACAGUAGAGGUGGGCGGAAUUCGUGGUGUAGCGGUGAAAUGCUUAGAUAUCACGAAGAACUCCGAUUGCGAAGGCAGCUCACUGGACUGCAACUGACACUGAUGCUC
Molecule: ribosomal RNA, 692 nt
Filed under: uncultured Bacteroidales bacterium
Lineage: Bacteria; Pseudomonadati; Bacteroidota; Bacteroidia; Bacteroidales
Description: bacterial SSU rRNA
Rfam family: Bacterial small subunit ribosomal RNA
Source: RNAcentral